UACAGGGGUGGCAAGCGUUGUUCGGAAUUACUGGGCGUAAAGGGCGCGUAGGCGGCCCGUCAAGUCCCGUGUGAAAGCCCCCGGCUCAACCGGGGAACGGCGCGGGAAACUAGCAGGCUUGAGUUCGGGAGAGGGAAGCGGAAUUCCGGGUGUAGCGGUGAAAUGCGCAGAUAUCCGGAGGAACACCGGUGGCGAAGGCGGCUUCCUGGACCGACACUGACGCUGAGGCGCGAAAGCUAGGGGAGCAAACAGG
Molecule: ribosomal RNA, 253 nt
Filed under: uncultured bacterium
Lineage: Bacteria
Description: partial 16S ribosomal RNA
Rfam family: Bacterial small subunit ribosomal RNA
Source: RNAcentral